This 459-nucleotide ribosomal RNA is filed under the name uncultured bacterium. Its description in RNAcentral is "partial 16S ribosomal RNA". It matches the Rfam family "Bacterial small subunit ribosomal RNA", at positions 339 to 795 of the family's 1533-position model. The record is from RNAcentral.
CUACGGGACGCUCCAGUGAGGAAUAUUGGACAAUGGAGGCAACUCUGAUCCAGCCAUGCCGCGUGCAGGAAGACGGCCCUAUGGGUUGUAAACUGCUUUUAUACGGGAAGAAACCCAACUACGUGUAGUUGGCUGACGGUACCGUAAGAAUAAGCACCGGCUAACUCCGUGCCAGCAGCCGCGGUAAUACGGAGGGUGCAAGCGUUAUCCGGAAUCAUUGGGUUUAAAGGGUCCGUAGGCGGACUGAUAAGUCAGGGGUGAAAUCCAACAGCUUAACUGUUGAACUGCCUUUGAUACUGUGAGUCUUGAAUUAUAUGGAAGUAGAUAGAAUGUGUAGUGUAGCGGUGAAAUGCUUAGAGAUUACACAGAAUACCGAUUGCGAAGGCAGUCUACUACGUAUAUAUUGACGCUAAUGGACGAAAGCGUGGGGAGCGAACAGAAUUAGAUACCCGAGUAGUC